This 439-nucleotide ribosomal RNA is filed under the name uncultured bacterium. Its description in RNAcentral is "partial 16S ribosomal RNA". It matches the Rfam family "Bacterial small subunit ribosomal RNA", at positions 339 to 795 of the family's 1533-position model. The record is from RNAcentral.
CUACGGGCUGCAGCAGUGAGGAAUAUUGCACAAUGGGGGGAACCCUGAUGCAGCAACGCCGCGUAGAGGAUGACACAUUUCGGUGUGUAAACUCCUUUUAUAUGUCAAGAAAAUGACGGUAGCAUAUGAAUAAGCACCGGCUAACUCCGUGCCAGCAGCCGCGGUAAUACGGAGGGUGCAAGCGUUACUCGGAAUCACUGGGCGUAAAGGACGCGUAGGCGGGUUGGAAAGUCAGGUGUGAAAUCCUACAGCUUAACUGUAGAACUGCACUUGAAACUUCUAAUCUAGAGUAUGGGAGGGGGAGAUGGAAUUAGUGGUGUAGGGGUAAAAUCCGUAGAUAUCACUAGGAAUACCUAAAGCGAAGGCGAUCUCCUGGAACAUUACUGACGCUAAGGCGUGAAAGCGUGGGGAGCAAACAGGAUUAGAUACCCUUGUAGUC